Molecule: ribosomal RNA, 253 nt
Filed under: uncultured bacterium
Lineage: Bacteria
Description: partial 16S ribosomal RNA
Rfam family: Archaeal small subunit ribosomal RNA
Source: RNAcentral
UACCAGCACCCCGAGUGGUCGGGACGAUUAUUGGGCCUAAAGCAUCCGUAGCCGGUCCUGCAAGUCUUCCGUUAAAUCCAGCUGCUUAACAGAUGGGCUGCGGGAGAUACUACAGGGCUAGGAGGCGGGAGAGGCAAGCGGUACUUUAUGGGUAGGGGUAAAAUCCGCUGAUCCAUAGAAGACCACCAGUGGCGAAGGCGGCUUGCCAGAACGCGCUCGACGGUGAGGGAUGAAAGCGGGGGGAGCAAACCGG